AUUGAACGCUGGCGGCAUGCCUUACACAUGCAAGUCGAACGGCAUCGCGGGAAAGCUUGCUUUCCUGGCGGCGAGUGGCGAACGGGUGAGUAACACAUCGGAACGUACCGGCUAGUGGGGGAUAACCCGUCGAAAGACGGGCUAAUACCGCAUACGCUCUUAGGAGGAAAGCAGGGGACCUUUGGGCCUUGCGCUAGCCGAGCGGCCGAUGUCCGAUUAGCUAGUUGGUGGGGUAAAGGCCUACCAAGGCGACGAUCGGUAGCGGGUCUGAGAGGACGAUCCGCCACACUGGGACUGAGACACGGCCCAGACUCCUACGGGAGGCAGCAGUGGGGAAUCUUGGACAAUGGGGGCAACCCUGAUCCAGCAAUGCCGCGUGGGUGAAGAAGGCCUUCGGGUUGUAAAGCCCUUUCGGCAGGGAAGAAAUCGGCGGGGCGAAUAACCCUGCUGGAUGACGUACCUGCAGAAGAG
This 471-nucleotide ribosomal RNA is filed under the name beta proteobacterium oral taxon B96. RNAcentral describes it as "bacterial SSU rRNA". It matches the Rfam family "Bacterial small subunit ribosomal RNA", at positions 29 to 489 of the family's 1533-position model. The record is from RNAcentral. Lineage: Bacteria; Pseudomonadati; Pseudomonadota; Betaproteobacteria.